This is a long non-coding RNA of Magnolia sinica, 2221 nucleotides long. RefSeq lists it as uncharacterized. The record is from RefSeq and is a predicted model, not a curated record. NCBI's taxonomy places the organism in Eukaryota, Viridiplantae, Streptophyta, Magnoliopsida, Magnoliales, Magnoliaceae. The transcript is spliced from 3 exons.
UCACAAGAUUGAUGUGAAAACUUUUUCUGAUAAAAGGUAGAGUUGAAUUGAAUCACUAACCUAAGAGGCAUGCUACCUGCAGGCAUGCAUCUGCAGACACCCAAUAUUACAAGUGUCUCAUGAAAAGUUGAAACACGUACUGAUGAUCCAAGCCCUAAAUCACACUAGUCUCAUGAUGAAUGUGUCUUCACCUAGGAUCGUAUAUCUAUUCAUCAGGUGAACCACACUUGUAUUGAGAAAAUGGAUAGUUAAAAGAUGGACAACCAAUGGUACAUGGUUGGCCCACCUAUUCACCUUAUUAGUGGAUUGACCAUAUUUUAAACUAUGAAACUUUCACCAAGGCUUGGACCUGAUGAAUGGAUUGGAUCUCAUACACGUAUCCCAUACUGACACAUGUGAGGGGCCUUCUGUUUGUACUCUGCAGAAGUAUAGAUACAGGAAGCAUUCAUCUUAACUCCAUCAAAUGAAAUUUUUCUAUACAUUGUCUAAUAUUUUCAAUUUUCUAUCUACUUUAUUUAUAUACUAUCUCCACUACAGCCAAAGAAUUGGGUUAUGUUCAUAGGAAUGUAUCAACUUGUAACCGUAACAUUCUCUAGAAGUUCAGUUAACAGUUAUAGCAUCACUGCAUUAUGUGCAGGAAUUGCAAAAUCAGCUACAGCUGUUGCAAGAAAUGCUCACUGAAGUGAAGUAUAGAUUGAGGUGCUGUUGUUAUCUAUAGCUGGAGUUUCUAAGAGUUAAAAGUUGUUUUGUAUUGCAUGCAUACAUGCACACACAUGUAGCCUAAAUAUUUGUGUGAACAUGAAGUGUUAUAUUUAUUCACAGAAUAAUGGAAAUUCACAGAGUAUUAUAUUUUUUCUUUUAUUUGUUUUGUCAGUUGUUGGUCCGUACCAGGAAAUGUCCAUAAUGCACUCCAAAUCAGAGUAAUGGAAGAAUCUCUAAUGAAAUCUCUUGAUUCACAUCGAGAACACUAGGGGCAUCAUUGUCUACAGUUACCUAAUCAUGGCAACGUACGGAAGCUUAAGUGAAGAUAUCAACUGUUAUCGACUUUCUGAUGGCUCAAUGAGAUGCCGCAUACUUGGUGGAAUUUUCAGAUACAGGUCCAACCUCAAACUCCAAUUCCCCAUUGACAACCGGGAUGCAAUUUUGCUCCUUCCAACAAAUACCGUUCUAUGAAUGGAUCUGACCAAACUUCCAUUCAAUACAACAGCUUGGAUUAGAGAAGCUGGACCUGGUGCCUCUCAUCCAUGUUCAAGUCUAUGAGGGAAAAGGGGGAUACAAGUCGAAGUAAAGGUUGUCUUCUCUGCAAUUGAGGGCCUAUGACUCAGUUCAUUCAUAGAUGAGGCCCACUUGACUGCAUUGUCAAAUGAUCAAGACCAGCACCCAUCUGCUUGCCCCUACCGUUGGGGAUGAUUGUACAGAAGACACACUGAUGGGAGAAUCUGAGCUGCCUAAUUAAGCUGCAUAGUCAGAUAAUGAAGGCCACACGUCUGCUCAAAUCUAUCGCUUGUGGGUGAUUGUACAAAAACCAUGCGGAUAGGAGAAUCCUACCUGUCUGAUUUUCUCUACUGAGUGUAGACUAUUUUGCUGAAUUUUUUCAUCACCUGUUUGCUUGAAGGCUAGCUGUUACUCAGAAAGAUAGGAUUGUCUGAUUGAUGUGAUAUUUAUACAGUUGCCUGUCAACCAUAGGGCUUAUAAGAUUGACAUACCAGAUAAUACACCCAUGAGCCGUGCAGGCCCAGUCAAGCAGUGGACCCUUAGAUAUAAGGGCAAGCUCCAAAUUGAAAAUGAGUCAAUAGGUCUCUUGUUUGUCAAAGGUGGGCAAUUUUGUCUUCAAAAGGGAUUCUUCAAAUUGAGCAUUGAUGUUCCUCAUCGCUUGUGCAUUCAUCAGCUAGCUAGGCUUCAUAAAUAGCUUUUGGGAAGGAAUGGUCACUUUACUAGCUGUUUGUAGCUUUAUACAUGUGUUCAGUUAGAAAGCCAAUGUAUGUAAAACAGAUCUGCAGUCUAACUGUUAUGCUUAUUAAUUACAAGUAAUCAAACAGGUUUUAUGUGUGAUAUUUAUGUUAAGGAAUUGAUCAGCCAUUGAUAUUUCUGAAUAGGUUUUGGGAAGCAACGGUCACUUUACUAGCUGUUUGUAGCUCUAUCCUUGUAUUGAAUUAGCAAGCCAAUGGAUAGAUGAAUGUUUGUGUAGAGGUAGAAAGAGAGGCAGUAUUUAUUUUAUAAU